UAUGUUUCUUUUCUUGCGGGGUGCUUUCGUUCAAUUCGAUUUGGUUUGGAGGAAGCUCAUGGAAAAGGACAAGCUGUGCAGUUCAACUGGUUAUUUGAGAAAGAAGCCUUUAUUUUGCACCCUGAUGAGACGUUCUCUGUUGAUUUUGCUAAGGUUGAGGGGUAGGUUGAAAGCCUGAGCAGGGAAAUACUAAACUAUACAGGCAAAAGGUGACAAAGAAG
This 221-nucleotide unclassified non-coding RNA is filed under the name Hevea brasiliensis (rubber tree). The record is from RNAcentral. Lineage: Eukaryota; Viridiplantae; Streptophyta; Magnoliopsida; Malpighiales; Euphorbiaceae.